CCUACGGGAGGCAGCAGUGGGGGAUAUUGCUCAAUGGGGGCAACCCUGAUGCAGCGACGCCGCGUGGGUGAAGAAGCGUUUCUGCAUGUUAAGCCCUUUCGGCAGGGAAGCACAGAACGCGAUACCUCGUGUAUAAGCCACGGCUAACUACGUUCCAUCAGCCGCGGUAAUGCGUGGGGCGCAGGCGAUGUCGGGAUUUACUGGGUGUAAAGGGCGUGCAGCCGGGAAGACAAGUCAGAUGUGAAAUCCCGCGGCUCAAACGCGGAACUGCAUUUGAAACUGGUUUUCUUGAGUACCGGAGAGGUAAUCGGAAUUCCUUGUGUAGCGGUGAAAUGCGUAGAUAUCAGGAAGAACACCAGUGGCGAAGGCGGAAGACUGGACGGCAACUGACGGUGAGGCGCGAAAGCGUGGGGAGCAAACAGGAUUAGAUACCCGUGUAGUC
This 442-nucleotide ribosomal RNA is filed under the name uncultured bacterium. Its description in RNAcentral is "partial 16S ribosomal RNA". It matches the Rfam family "Bacterial small subunit ribosomal RNA", at positions 338 to 795 of the family's 1533-position model. The record is from RNAcentral.